Molecule: long non-coding RNA, 586 nt
Filed under: Mus spicilegus (steppe mouse)
Lineage: Eukaryota; Metazoa; Chordata; Mammalia; Rodentia; Muridae
Description: lncRNA (ENSMSIG00000025687.1)
Source: RNAcentral
CUAAAAAUUAUACUGAGGUGGGUAUCUCAGCUCAAAAAAGACAAAUGUAAGCAUGUUCUGUCUCUUAUGCAGAUUCUGGCCCCUGAUAUUAUAUUUUGUGCAUCUCAGAGCAGAAGUGGAAGUCAGGCAACUAGGAAACACCAUGGGGAGAAGACACAUUAAGUUAAAUAUUAGAGUCUGGUAUGUUAAAGUAGUCUUUAAUGAGGAGGAACUAAAGAUGAAUAUAAUGCAGUCCUGUUUUCUAUGGAGGAGAUUAUCAUCUCAUUAUGAGGGAGAAGAAUACAAGCCACAAUCCUUCGUCUCUACUCUUCCUAUGCUACAAAUAUUCAAAGAGAAGACUGAACGUUAAAGAGAUGAAAUGAAAAGUUGCUGUGGAUAAUUGCAGGCAUGUGAAAAUAAUCAGCUUGCUAGCAGUGAUAAAAGAGCAAUACACACAUCUAUCUUUUCUGAUGAAGUCAAUGUAUUAAAAAUGUUGUUAAGCUGUGGCAUCAAAUUAUGAUCACCUGCAUUCUACAUCAUGGGCAGAGGCUUUGUAAGGUACCUACUGAAAAAUCUCAGUGAAACUCAGCUCCCAACUAUCCUGUUA